Molecule: ribosomal RNA, 215 nt
Filed under: Minutocellus polymorphus
Lineage: Eukaryota; Bacillariophyta; Thalassiosirophyceae; Cymatosirales; Cymatosiraceae
Description: partial Bacterial large subunit ribosomal RNA
Rfam family: Bacterial large subunit ribosomal RNA
Source: RNAcentral
UGAAGAAUGAGCCGGCGACUUAUAUUAAGUGGCAUGGUUAAAGAAAACCAUCUGAAGCCAUAGCGAAAGCAAGUCUUAAUAGGGCAUAACGUCACUUAAUAUGGACCCGAACCCGGGUGAUCUAACCAUGACCAGGAUGAAGCUUGGGUAAAACCAAGUGGAAGUCCGAACCGACCGAUGUUGAAAAAUCGGCGGAUGAGUUGUGGUUAGGGGUG